CCUCUUGCCAUCAGAUGUGCCCAGAUGGGAUUAGCUAGUAGGUGGGUAACGGCUCACCUAGGCGACGAUCCCUAGCUGGUCUGAGAGGAUGACCAGCCACACUGGAACUGAGACACGGUCCAGACUCCUACGGGAGGCAGCAGUGGGGAAUAUUGCACAAUGGGCGCAAGCCUGAUGCAGCCAUGCCGCGUGUAUGAAGAAGGCCUCGGGUUGUAAAGUACUUUCAGCGGGGAGGAAGGGAGUAAAGUUAAUACCUUUGCUCAUUGACGUUACCCGCAGAAGAAGCACCGGCUAACUCCGUGC
This 303-nucleotide ribosomal RNA is filed under the name uncultured bacterium. RNAcentral's name for it is "bacterial SSU rRNA". It matches the Rfam family "Bacterial small subunit ribosomal RNA", at positions 211 to 508 of the family's 1533-position model. The record is from RNAcentral.